Gallus gallus (chicken) is the source of this 451-nucleotide long non-coding RNA. RefSeq lists it as uncharacterized. The transcript is spliced from 2 exons. Lineage: Eukaryota; Metazoa; Chordata; Aves; Galliformes; Phasianidae. The record is from RefSeq and is a predicted model, not a curated record.
ACCGCUAUCACCUGGGCAGGGCACCAGGUUUAACUCCUGGAGGCUGGGACCCACACUAAGCAGACAGACUGUGUGAAGCUUCUAACUGAAGACUUUAUGAGGUGUUGGAGUUGUGUGCUGAUCUAUGUACAAUGUACUGAAUAUGCUGUCCCCAGGAUGCUCACUGAACUGCUCAUAAUUUUGAAGAUUCCUCCAUGGAGUCAUAUUUUUCUUCCUCCUGAAGUGGCUACAGCAUGCAAGGCAAAUCCCUGCCAAGUAUUUUCUUCUUUGCCCAAUUAUGUAUGAAAUGUUACAUAUAUCUCAUAAAAACAAUUCUUUUUACUGAUAAAUUCUGCCAGACAUUUGUGAGCACUCUCAUUCUCUGAGUUCUGGUUAUCUAAAUGCCCUGAACAGCCAAGGAGGCAGAGUGGGUGCAGUUUCUUCCUUUGCCAGUAAAAAGCUGAGUGCAGAA